This 253-nucleotide ribosomal RNA is filed under the name uncultured bacterium. RNAcentral describes it as "partial 16S ribosomal RNA". It matches the Rfam family "Bacterial small subunit ribosomal RNA", at positions 524 to 776 of the family's 1533-position model. The record is from RNAcentral.
UACAGAGGUCUCGAGCGUUAGGCGGAAUCACUGGGCUUAAAGCGUGUGUAGGCGGAUUGGUAAGUACCUUGUGAAAUCCCACGGCUCAACCGUGGAACUGCUCGGUAUACUGCCUGUCUUGUGCAACCUAGGGGCGAGCGGAACAGAUGGUGGAGCGGUGAAAUGCGUAGAUAUCUGGAGGAACACCGGUGGCGAAGGCGGCAUCCUGGACCAAUAUUGACGCUGAGGAGCGAAAGCCAGGGGAGCAAACGGG